UACGUAGGGUGCAAGCGUUAAUCGGAAUUACUGGGCGUAAAGGGCGCGUAGGCGGCUUGUAUAGUCGGAUGUGAAAUUCCUGGGCUUAACCUGGGGGCUGCAUACGAGACGUAUGGGCUUGAGUGCGGAAGAGGGUCGUGGAAUUCCCAGUGUAGAGGUGAAAUUCGUAGAUAUGGGGAAGAACACCGGUGGCGAAGGCGGCGACCUGGUCCGUGACUGACGCUGAGGCGCGAAAGCGUGGGGAGCGAACAGG
RNAcentral lists this ribosomal RNA (253 nucleotides) under uncultured bacterium. RNAcentral describes it as "partial 16S ribosomal RNA". It matches the Rfam family "Bacterial small subunit ribosomal RNA", at positions 524 to 776 of the family's 1533-position model. The record is from RNAcentral.